Molecule: long non-coding RNA, 1441 nt
Filed under: Anser brachyrhynchus (Pink-footed goose)
Lineage: Eukaryota; Metazoa; Chordata; Aves; Anseriformes; Anatidae
Description: lncRNA (ENSABRG00000007856.1)
Source: RNAcentral
AUGAUUUUAAAGUUUUUACAUUUUUUUUCUUUCUUUUUUUGGAUUUCUUUGGAUAAGUAAUACAAACACAUCACAAUGUUGCAAUUCAUGUCAAUUCCUGUAUGAAAUUCAUGGUCAGAUAGAGAUGCCAGUGCACAUUUGGGAAAUGUACACAGGCAGCUAGGUUCAUUGUCCUCUUUUGUCUGCAGAAAGCAAUCAAGAAAACAUCUGUGCUUAGAUAGAGCUGAUUUUCAUGGAUUGGGUUCAGAUGUUGGCAGAAGACCCAUGCUCCAAGAGCAGCCAAAAGAUGGUUAAUUGGCUGUCAGCUCUGGAAGCCUGACCGUUAGCUGCGAGACACAAUACUUAUUUACAGAGAGUCACAAUACUUAUUUCCAAGGCAAGCAGAAAGUAGGGGAAGUCUGUGAGGAAUGGGAAUGAAAAGCGACAGGUUGUCCAAGAAACUAGAAUACUGCGGGUUCACUAAGUUUUUCUCUUCAAACUCUGCUCCAGGAAUAAUUCCAUGUGUGCAGGAACCUCGGAUUGAUUUGGAUGGAGGAGCCAGAAUUAUAGACCAGUAAUGUGGUGUACGGAAAGCUUUCUCCGUGCAUCCAUCUGCCAGCAGCCAUGAACGAGUUCAUGCAGCAGAAGAAUAUGCUUUUCUAAGGGCAGGUUUGAUAUUUUGGUUACAUGUGUGUGAAUAUAAUCUCUAGCUAAGUUUAGCCUUAAGUAAAACCUAAUUUAGUUUGCAUAACUGUGAGAGCCAUGGAGGAUCCCAGGGUUGCCAACCACAUCUAAGUACUACCUACUUUCCCUGGAGCAAUCAAGAACCUUAGUUCCAAGAAUUCAUCAUCCUAAAAAUUCAAACUAAUGAAGUCUUGAUUAUCUGAAUCAUGUCCCUAAAUUAAAUACAACUCCAACACUCCUGAAAUGGAGGAGUCUACUGCAGUCUGAGUUUGUCGAUGGAUCUCUUAGGCGCAGCACAAACCAGUUGGGUAUGGCAGCAGUACUGCAGCUGAGUGUAGAUUGAUUCUAGCAGGAUUCAGUGAUUUAUUGCAUCAGAUGUAACAGCGUGGUACAAGGUAGCAUGCUAUGAUUAGAUUUAAGCAACAUAACCCAGUGUGAUGGCUGAGAUGUCAGGGGGGAAGGCAUCUAUUUUUCUGGUCAGCCAGUAUUAAUUCUCUUACCUGAUGUCUAGCAUAAUUUUUUCAAAGAAUCAUAACUGUGAGGGAAAGCUUACAAAGAGAGAUGUAUGUAGAAUUUCUGAACAAACAACAUCAUGAACAGAAUGAUUUAUAAUAGAUGGAUAAUGAUCUAAGUUUGUAUCUAAUUGUUUUAGCUGUAACUAGCAGUUAGAUGGAAUCAUUCAUGACCAAAUCAUCCUUAAUCCCACUUCAGAGCUUCUUUUCUUACAGCCCAUCUGUUGACAUGACAAAUUUGUCAAAUUUCAGAAGACUGUUGCUCU